This 441-nucleotide ribosomal RNA is filed under the name uncultured bacterium. RNAcentral describes it as "partial 16S ribosomal RNA". It matches the Rfam family "Bacterial small subunit ribosomal RNA", at positions 338 to 795 of the family's 1533-position model. The record is from RNAcentral.
CCUACGGGAGGCAGCAGUGGGGAAUAUUGCACAAUGGGGGAAACCCUGAUGCAGCGACGCCGCGUGAGUGAAGAAGUAUUUCGGUAUGUAAAGCUCUAUCAGCAGGGAAGAAAAUGACGGUACCUGAUUAAGAAGCCCCGGCUAACUACGUGCCAGCAGCCGCGGUAAUACGUAGGGGGCAAGCGUUAUCCGGAUUUACUGGGUGUAAAGGGGGCGUAGACGGCAGCACAAGUCUGGAGUGAAAGGCCGGGGCUUAACCCCGGAACUGCUUUGGAAACUGUGCAGCUAGAGUGCAGGAGAGGUAAGAGGAAUUCCUAGUGUAGCGGUGAAAUGCGUAGAUAUUAGGAGGAACACCAGUGGCGAAGGCGGCUUACUGGACUGUAACUGACGUUGAGGCUCGAAAGCGUGGGGAGCAAACAGGAUUAGAUACCCGCGGUAGUC